This 26-nucleotide unclassified non-coding RNA is filed under the name Mus musculus (house mouse). Its description in RNAcentral is "oocyte_clustered_small_RNA12131". Lineage: Eukaryota; Metazoa; Chordata; Mammalia; Rodentia; Muridae. The record is from RNAcentral.
UGGAGAUGCCGGUACCAUGAGAUGAC